AGGGUUACAAUGGAAGUCAAUUAUGGGAUACUGCAUUUGCCGUUCAAGCUAUCAUGUCAACUAAGCUUGCUGAAGAAUAUGGGACAACAUUAAGAAAGGCGCACAAGUAUAUAAAAGACUCCCAGGUCCUAGAAGAUUGUCCUGGGGAUUUACAAAAUUGGUAUCGUCAUAUUUCGAAAGGUGCAUGGCCAUUUUCAACUGCAGAUCAUGG
RNAcentral lists this unclassified non-coding RNA (211 nucleotides) under Hevea brasiliensis (rubber tree). Lineage: Eukaryota; Viridiplantae; Streptophyta; Magnoliopsida; Malpighiales; Euphorbiaceae. The record is from RNAcentral.